Molecule: ribosomal RNA, 240 nt
Filed under: uncultured bacterium
Lineage: Bacteria
Description: partial 16S ribosomal RNA
Rfam family: Bacterial small subunit ribosomal RNA
Source: RNAcentral
GCAAGUCGAACGAGAAAGUACCUUCGGGUGCGAGUAGAGUGGCGCACGGGUGAGUAACACGUAGGUAAUCUGCCUUUUGGUGGGGGAUAACCAGGAGAAAUCCUGGCUAAUACCGCAUAAGUAAGAAAUUAGAAAGGAUGCUCCGGCAUUCGCCGAAAGAUGAGCCUGCGGAACAUUAGCUUGAUGGUGGGGUAAUGGCCUACCAAGACGAUGAUGCAUAGCCGACCUGAGAGGGUGAUC